ACUUCACUUAGCAUAAUCUUCUCUAAUGCCAUCAUUUCCCUGCAAAUGCCGUGAUCUUAUUAUUUUUUUAGUGCUGAGUAAUAUUCCAUUGUAUAUAAAUGCCACAUUUUUUAAUCCAUUCAUCCACUAAAGGGCAUCUAGGUUGGAUCCAAAGUUUAGCUAUUGUGAUUUGUGCUGCUAUAAACAUUGAUGUGGCUGUGUCCCUGUAGUAUGCUGUUUUUAGGUCCUUUGGGUAUUGUCUUAGAAGAGGGAUAGCUGGGUCAAAUGGUGGUUCCAUUCCCAGCUUUCCAAGGAAUCUCCAUACUGCUUUCCAAAUUGGCUGCACUAAUUUGCAGUCCCACCAGCAGUGUAUGACUGUGCCUUUUCCCCCCACAUCCUCACCAACACUUGUUAUUUGUCUUCAUUAUGGCUGCCAUUUUUACUGGGGUGAGAUGGCAUCUUACAGUAGUUUUGAUUUGCAUUUCUCUGAUAGCUAGAGAUGAUGAGCAUUUUUUCGUAUGUUUGUUGAUUGAUUGUAUGUCCUCUUCUGAGAAGUGUCUGUUCAGGUCUUUGGCCCAUUUAUUGAUUGGAUUAUUAUUUUUUUUUUGGUGUUUAUCUUGUUGAGUUCUUUAUAUACCCUAGAGAUUAGUGCUCUAGCUGAUGUGUGAGGGGUAAAAAU
RNAcentral lists this long non-coding RNA (658 nucleotides) under Marmota monax (woodchuck). Lineage: Eukaryota; Metazoa; Chordata; Mammalia; Rodentia; Sciuridae. The record is from RNAcentral.